GACAACUACAAUAAUAAAGCAAUUAGACUUCGCUUUCGGCCUCCGUUUCUUCCAAGGGAAUGUUAUUAUUAUUAUCGUUGGCACCUCUAAACGCAUUUCCUAUCCGCCCAAUUGCAUUUCCUAUACCUUCUAAUCGGGUAAGUAAAGAAUCAUUCAUACAGUUGGUUGAAUACACAUACCUAGGAAAGAAGCUAUACCAUUCCUGAUAAAUUUGGGCAUCCUUUUGAGAGCA
Non-coding RNA from Schizosaccharomyces pombe (fission yeast), 232 nucleotides. Lineage: Eukaryota; Fungi; Ascomycota; Schizosaccharomycetes; Schizosaccharomycetales; Schizosaccharomycetaceae. The record is from the annotation of a GenBank genome assembly.